This 3021-nucleotide long non-coding RNA is filed under the name Homo sapiens (human). Its description in RNAcentral is "HSALNT0359364". Lineage: Eukaryota; Metazoa; Chordata; Mammalia; Primates; Hominidae. The record is from RNAcentral.
GGUGUGCUCUCGCCAUUGUUCCAUCUGCAAGGAGCACUCUUUCUGCAGAAGGGACCUAUUCUCCUCUGGGGGUAGUCUCCAGUCCUCUCUCCUAAGGAGGUGCCCUGCUGCCUCAUUGCUGUGGCCUCAGCGGUGAGGAAUUGAGACCCACCUGCUGUGCUGAAUAAACCCGGACUCUCAGCAAUGCGGAAAGAAACCGGCUGGUGACCUGAAGUAAAGGAUCCUCACAUACUACGUGGACCAGACAACCUCGUGCACAAGCCAAGGAAGGAAACACUGGAGGAGCUGAACUAAAGGUCUUUCAGCACAGGUGCCACCCCUAGCAUUUCCAGCACACCAGCAUCAGCCUGGGGACCACGUCGUUGUCAAAAGUUAGAGAGAAGGAAAACUUGAACUGGCAAAGGACCUUACCUAGUGCUCCUAACUACCGAAAUGGCAGUCUGGACAGCAGAAAAAGGAUGGACCCAUCACACCCAAGUCAAGAAAGUGCUGCCCCCUCCAGAGUCAUGGGCCGUAGUCCCAGGAGAAAACCCUAUCAAACUAAAGAUAAGAAAAAUUUAACUCCUUUCAUCUAUUCUGUUACUCCUUCUUCUUUCCUUGCUCUAUUGCUGACUACCUAGUUAUUAAUGUAACCAAGUCAAUUUUGCCUCAAACUAUUACAUUUGAUGGUUGCCUUGUUAUACCCUGUGGAGAUUUGCCAAGUUAGGGGCAACUCUCCACUUCAGAAAACUAUCUUUAUCCUUCCUAGCUCUCCUCAGACUAAAAAUCUGUUAACUGGGAUAAGUUAGUUUGAGAAGAGUUUGAUGAAGAUUCCAGUAUAAACUGGAAAUCUUGUCCUCCUAGAGCAGAGCUUCUCUGCCAAACUUGGCUCAAUGCUCUAUAAAAUACUAAAGAGCAAGGAUGGACCACACUAACUAGUACUUGCAGUUUCUUAAAACCAUAUAUUCAUUUUACUAAAGGAGCUAUCCCUCCCCACUGUCAGCUAAACCAAUGUAAUCCAGUACAGAUUACCAUCUCUGUUCCCCAGAGUUCUUCCCCUUCAUUAAACCAUUUCUAUGGUAUAGGAGCAGAAGUCUCAGGAUCCUUUGAAAUGUGCUUCAUUUCCUCCUCACUUCCUGUACCCUUUUCUCCCUCUCCUAAGUUCUCCUCUAACCAACAUUCUCUUGUUAUAUACCCAAUGAUAAAACCAAACUAGUUGUUGUAGAGGUUAACUAUUUAAAACAAACUAUAGCAAUUGAAACAGGGUAUCAGGAUGCAAAUGCUUGGCUGGAAUGGAUAAAAUAUUCUGUUUGCACGAUAAACAAAAGUGACUGUAACGCUUGUGCGAUAGGCAGGCCAGAGACCCAGAUUGUUCCCUUUCCACUUGGGUGGUCCUCUCAGGGACCUGGCAUGAGCUGUAUGGUAGCUGUCUUCCAGAACCCCACAGCCUGGGGCGAUGAGUCAUGCAAGGCUCUUUUACUGCUGUUCUCUGAGGUUAAGAGCCCUGUGGGUCAGCCCUCAAGGGCCUUCUGGCCUCCAGCCCCUGAUGUUAACUUCACCUCAUUCCUUUCACAGCAGGGGAAAAAGUUAGCAUUCCUUGAAGAUUUAACAGGGUGCAGUGUAACCAAGCCUUUCCAAGAGCUUACCAAUCAGUCUGUCCUUGUUCAUCCCUGAGCAUAAGUGUGGUGGUAUCAUGGGGGACUAUUGCUGGAUACUCUGCCAAGUUAUUAGAGCAGCACUUGUGCUCUAGUCCAAUUCACCAUCCCUUUCACUCUAGCAUUUCAUCAACAUGAUUACAAAAAAAGAGAGAAAAUCAUAAAAGAAGAAGUGCCCUAUAUGGGUCCUUUGACCCCCAUGUUUAUGUAAAUGCUAUUAGAGCUCAAUGAGGAGUGCCAGAUGAAUUUAAAGCCCAUGAUCAAAUAGCUUCAGGAUUUCAGUCAAUAUUCUAGUGGGUAAAAAUUAAUAAAAAUGUAGACUGGAUGAAUUACAUCUAUUAUGAUCAACAGUGGUUUAUUAACUACACUAGAGAUGCUGCUAAAGAAAUAGCAAUGCAAUUAGGGGCUACUAGCCAGAUGGCUUGGGAAAAUAGAAUAGCCUUAGACAUUAUAUCAGCAGCAGAAGGAGGAGGAGUUUGCAUCAUGAUUAAAACUCAAUAUUGUACCUUCAUCCCAAACAAUACUGCCCCUGAUGGAAGUAUAACAAGGCAUUGCAAGGUCUAACUGCUCUGUCCAAUGAGUUAACCAAAAACUCAGCGGUAAGUGACCCCUUUAAAAGGUGCCUAGAAAAAUCAUUCAGUAAAUGGAAAAAAAAAAUCAUAGCCUCAGUUCUUACUUCUCUCACAGCCAUAGUAGGCGUAUUCAUUCUUGUUGGGUGUUUUGUCAUACCAUGCAUCCGUGGGCUGGUUCACAGACUCAUACAGGCAGCACUUACUAAAACCUCCCUUAAUUCUCCUCCACCUUAUUCAGAGAAGCUUUUUCUUUUAGAGAAUCAUGCAGAACAACUAAGCCAAGACAUUUUAAGGAAGUUUGAAGAGAAGGAACUGUAAAAAUUCAAGAUGAAGAACUGUUAAAUAUAGUGAACCCCAAGUUUCUAUUCAAAGAAUCAGUAUGUCAGUAUGUUCAGCUCUCUUAUUGAUUCUCCAUUUUAAAGUUUAACUUCCUGGUUCCCUUUGCCCCCUCCCUUCUAAUUUCAGUAAACAACUUUCCCACCAGUCCUAAUCAGUAGUUCACAUCUCUUCCCCUGGUCACCUGCUUUGAUAUGACUCACCCCUGGUCACCUGCUCCAUCCUGACUCAUCCUGAGCCACCAGUUCUGUAACUGCCCUUCCUGCCAAACUACAUGCCUCACCACUCUGGCUCAUACUCCUGCUCUUUUUUAAAAUAGCCAGUUGGAAUUGCUUAGACUGUGCAGUCCAACCUAGCCAAUAGGGGAAUGACACAGCAGUAAAGGCUAUCUCCAUCAGGAAUAAUAACCUCUUCUCCUCCUCUGUCCAGGUGUGCUCUCACCAUUGUUCCAUCUGCAAGGAGCACUCUUUCUGCAGAAA